This 231-nucleotide non-coding RNA is filed under the name Drosophila sechellia. RNAcentral's name for it is "Eukaryotic small subunit ribosomal RNA". It matches the Rfam family "Eukaryotic small subunit ribosomal RNA", at positions 1606 to 1831 of the family's 1831-position model. The record is from Rfam by way of RNAcentral. Lineage: Eukaryota; Metazoa; Arthropoda; Insecta; Diptera; Drosophilidae.
UGGAAUUCCCAGUAAGUGUGAGUCAUUAACUCGCAUUGAUUACGUCCCUGCCCUUUGUACACACCGCCCGUCGCUACUACCGAUUGAAUUAUUUAGUGAGGUCUCCGGACGUGAUCACUGUGACGCCUUGCGUGUUACGGUUGUUUCGCAAAAGUUGACCGAACUUGAUUAUUUAGAGGAAGUAAAAGUCGUAACAAGGUUUCCGUAGGUGAACCUGCGGAAGGAUCAUUA